This 421-nucleotide ribosomal RNA is filed under the name uncultured bacterium. RNAcentral's name for it is "bacterial SSU rRNA". It matches the Rfam family "Bacterial small subunit ribosomal RNA", at positions 958 to 1392 of the family's 1533-position model. The record is from RNAcentral.
AACGCGAAGAACCUUACCUGGGUUUGACAUAUACGUAGUAGUGAACCGAAAGGGGAACGAGCCUCCGGGCAGCGUAUACAGGUGCUGCAUGGCUGUCGUCAGCUCGUGUCGUGAGAUGUUGGGUUAAGUCCCGCAACGAGCGCAACCCUCAUCGCUAGUUACAAGUGUCUAGCGAGACUGCCGGUAUCAAACUGGAGGAAGGUGGGGAUGAUGUCAAGUCAGCAUGGCCUUUAUAUCCAGGGCUACACACACGCUACAAUGGGUAGUACAAUGGGCAGCGAAAGGGCGACCUGGAGCUAAUCCUAUCAAAGCUAUUCGUAGUUCGGAUUGCAGGCUGCAAUUCGCCUGCAUGAAGCCGGAGUUGCUAGUAAACGUAGGUCAGCACACUACGUUGAAUACGUUCCCGGGUCUGUACACACCG